GUUUAGUUUCUGAUCCUCCUGCCUCAGCCUCCUAGAAUGCUGGAACUACAGGGCCUUGCUAUGUAGUUCAGACUGACCUUGAACUCACUAUGUAGAACAGGCUGGCUUUGAAUUCCUCCUGCCUCAACCUCCUGAGUGCUGGGAUUAUAGACAUGCACCACCAUGCCCAGCUCCACUGUAAUUGGAUCUUGAAGAAUGAAGAACGUACCAGGAAGAAAACAAGAAGCAAGAAAGAAGCUUUGUGUUCUAGGACAUGGAAACUGCAAGGAUUGAACUCAGGACCUUUCACUUGCAAGGUAGGUGCAGUGCCACUGAGCUAAAUCCUCAGCCCAGUGAUUGAUAUUCUAAAUAGACAUCAAUCUCUCUAGCCCAUAUCCUUUCCAGAAAUUCCUCUUCCGUGACUUGUUUUCCCACUUGAUCCCCAUUUAAUCAAUAUUACCUGGGUAACUGUACUUGCAAU
Molecule: long non-coding RNA, 460 nt
Filed under: Heterocephalus glaber (naked mole-rat)
Lineage: Eukaryota; Metazoa; Chordata; Mammalia; Rodentia; Bathyergidae
Description: lncRNA (ENSHGLG00100051257.1)
Source: RNAcentral